Molecule: ribosomal RNA, 422 nt
Filed under: uncultured archaeon
Lineage: Archaea
Description: partial 16S ribosomal RNA
Rfam family: Archaeal small subunit ribosomal RNA
Source: RNAcentral
CUACGGGCGGCAGCAGGUGCGAAACCUCUACAAUGCACGAAAGUGUGAUAGGGGAACCCUGAGUGCUUAUGCAUUGCAUAGGCUUUUGUUAAAGGUAAAUACUUUGGCGAAUAAACGGUGGGUAAGACUGGUGCCAGCCGCCGCGGUAACACCAGCGCCGUAAGUGGGAGCCGCGUUUAUUGGGCCUAAAGCGUCCGUAGCUGGAUAAAUAACUCUUUUGUGAAAUUGUCAAGCUCAACUUGACAACGUGCAGAAGAAACUGUUUGUCUUGGAACCGGAAGGAGUCAGCAGUAUGAGAUGGGGAGCGGUAAAAUGCUAUAAUCCUUCUUAGACUACCUGUGGCAAAGGCGUCUGACUAGUACGGGUUCGACAGUGAGGGACGAAAGCCAGGGGAGCGAACCGGAUUAGAUACCCCCGUAGUC